UGGGAUGUAGCUUGGUGGUAGAGUGCUUGCCCAGGAUGUGUGAGGCCCUGGGUUCAAUCUCCAGUAUCUUAA
This 72-nucleotide transfer RNA is filed under the name Marmota marmota marmota (Alpine marmot). It matches the Rfam family "tRNA". Rfam says of the family: Transfer RNA (tRNA) molecules are approximately 80 nucleotides in length. Their secondary structure includes four short double-helical elements and three loops (D, anti-codon, and T loops). The record is from Rfam by way of RNAcentral. RNAcentral also lists the same sequence under 1 other name. Lineage: Eukaryota; Metazoa; Chordata; Mammalia; Rodentia; Sciuridae.